RNAcentral lists this long non-coding RNA (450 nucleotides) under Chinchilla lanigera (long-tailed chinchilla). RNAcentral's name for it is "lncRNA (ENSCLAG00000023723.1)". The record is from RNAcentral. Lineage: Eukaryota; Metazoa; Chordata; Mammalia; Rodentia; Chinchillidae.
UGGUUCUUGUAAUGUGUUUAAUUUACUGUUCUACAGCAACCUCACAAAGUCCACUGAGGAAACUGAAGCACAGAGAGGUUAAAUAAGCUGCUGAAGGUCACACAGCUACAAGAGACAGAGGAAGAUUCAAACCCCAGGAGACUGCUGCCCACACAUCAGGGCCUGUAGGGUUUACUACACCAGUAUCUGACAGCUCAGCACUGCUAACAAGAUUGAACACAAACAAGACUGCCUCACCUGUGACGCCCUGAGCUCACACCUGGAGCCGAUGACGCAGGAGGGGACGGGGCAGUUUUGUCUGUUGUAUGGAACCAAGCUGGAGUUCCAGGAGUGGGCCUGGUAUUUAGAGCAUAAAUAUCUGACUCCCAUGGCCAGCAUGAGGUAAGGAGCCUUGGGGUUCAAAAGAACCCUCUAGGCAUCAGUCUUUGGUUCUCUGCUUUCUUAGAAAAU